GGUGGGAUUGAGAAGCAUCCGGCAGCUCCAGGGACGAGCCCUCGGGCGAGGCGGUGGCCACGUCCCCCCACCCUUUGGGGGGCUCGGGGACCUCCCCGGGGGGCUGUGACAGCGACCCCUGUGAUGGGGGACACGGGAGGGCAGCCGGGGGCUCGUGGGACAGGGUCACCUCAGCUGCCAGCACCACGGGGGACACGGGCUGGGGGCUCGGGGUCACCGGGGCACUGGCCAUGGUGGCCACCGGGCUGGGGGUCACUGGGGUCACCGGGGCACUGGCCGUGGUGGCCACCGGGCUGGGGGUCACCAGGUCAGUGGCUGCAUCAUCCGGCGGGGUUGGUGUCACCGGUGUCAGUGGCUCGGUGUCCCCGGUGUCCAUCAGGCUGCAGGUCACUGGUGUCACUGGGGCAGUGGCUGCAGUGUCCAUCUCAUCCAGCGGGGUUGGUGUCACCGGUGUCACCAGGUUGGUGGCCACAGUGUCCAUCAGGGUGGUUGUCACUGAUGUCAGCACGUCAGUGACCACAGCAUCCUUCAGGGUGGAUGUCACCGGUGUCACCAGGGCAGCGUCCACAGUGUCCAUCUUGUCCAGCAGGCUGGGAGUCACUGGUGUCACCGGGUCAGUGGCUGCAGUGUCCAUCUCAUCUGGUGGGCUUGCUGUCACUCGUGUCACCGGGUCAGUGGCCGCAGUGUCCGGCGGGGUUGGUGUCACCAAGUUGGUGGCCACUGUGUUCAGCUCAUCUGGGGGGCUCGUUGUCAGCAGGUCAGUGUCCACAGCGUCCAUCUCAUCCAGGGGGGUCGGUGUCACCGGUGUCACCAGGUCGGUGGCCGUGCUGUCCAUCAGGUCAGGCGUCACUGGUGUCAACCCUGCAGUGCCUGCAGCGUCCGGCUCAUCCAGUGGGGUUGGUGUCACCAUGUCAGUGGCCACAGUGUCCAGCUCAUCCAACGGGCUGGGUGUCACCAGUGUCACCAGCUCAGUGGCCGCAGUGUCCGGUGGGCUGGGUGCCACUGGGCCGGUGGCCGUGCUGUCCAUCAGGCUGGGUGUCACCAGCGUCCCCAGAUCAGUGUCCGGCUCAUCCAGAGGGGUCGGUGUCACCGGUGUCACCAUGGCAGUGGCCAUAGUGUCUGGCUCACCGGGCGGGCUGGGUGUCACCGGGCUGGUGGCCACAGUGUCCAUCUCAUCCAGGAGGAUUGGUGCCACACCAAUGGUGUCACCUGGUGUCACCAGGUCAGCGCCCACGGUGUCCAUCAGGCUGGGGGUCACCGGUGUCUCCAGGUCAGCGCCCACGGUGUCCAUCAGGCUGGGGGUCACCGGUGUCUCCAGGUCAGUGCCCACGGUGUCCAUCAGGCUGGGGGUCACCGGUGUCUCCAGGUCAGUGCCCACGGUGUCCAUCAGGCUGGGGGUCACCGGUGUCUCCAGGUCAGUGUCCAGCCCAGGUGUCGCUGAUGUCCCCAGGUCAGUCUCCGCAGUGUCCACCAGGCCGGGUGUCACUGGUGUCACCUCCUCAGUGGCCGCAGUGUCCGUCUCAUCCCGGGGGAUCGGUGUCACCGACGUCCCCAGGCUGGUGGCCGCGGUGUCCGGCUCACUGUGGCCAUCAGUGCUCCCUGCUCUCCCUGUGCCGAGCUUGAGGUCACUGUCACCAUCGCUGUCACCCCCAGGGCUGUCCCGGGGCUCCCCGUUGGCCCCCCUCAGCCGGAGGCUCUGGGGGUCCCUGGCGCAGGGCCCGGGGCUCUGGGGGACACCGACUGUCACCGCUGGCUCCGUGCAAGGUCCCUGUCCCGGCGAUGCCGCUCCAGAACUUUCUGCCACCUCCUGGGGGGGCUCCAGGGGGGACCACGCCUCCACCGUGGGGACAAAGGCGUGGCCGUCCUGC
Lepidothrix coronata (blue-crowned manakin) is the source of this 1868-nucleotide long non-coding RNA. NCBI's taxonomy places the organism in Eukaryota, Metazoa, Chordata, Aves, Passeriformes, Pipridae. The record is from Ensembl.